RNAcentral lists this ribosomal RNA (253 nucleotides) under uncultured bacterium. Its description in RNAcentral is "partial 16S ribosomal RNA". It matches the Rfam family "Bacterial small subunit ribosomal RNA", at positions 524 to 776 of the family's 1533-position model. The record is from RNAcentral.
UACGAAGGUGGCAAGCGUUGUUCGGAUUUACUGGGCGUACAGGGAGCGUAGGCGGUUGGGUAAGCCCUCCGUGAAAUCUCCGGGCCUAACCCGGAAAGUGCGGAGGGGACUGCUCAGCUAGAGGAUGGGAGAGGAGCGCGGAAUUCCCGGUGUAGCGGUGAAAUGCGUAGAGAUCGGGAGGAAGGCCGGUGGCGAAGGCGGCGCUCUGGAACAUUUCUGACGAUGAGGCUCGAAAGCGUGGGGAGCAAACAGG